RNAcentral lists this unclassified non-coding RNA (2358 nucleotides) under Leishmania donovani. RNAcentral's name for it is "gene:LdHU3.04.0480(CDS-product:hypothetical_prote in_conserved)". The record is from RNAcentral. Lineage: Eukaryota; Euglenozoa; Kinetoplastea; Trypanosomatida; Trypanosomatidae.
CUCUUUCCCAGCAGCGACGGACUCAUUCCCCAUGUGUUGCCCCUCCUCUCUCUUCCCGCAUCCUCUUGUGUCACUCUCGCAUCGCAGGAACCCCUGGACGCUGCCCCCACACUCCGUGAAAGAGACAGACGGUAACCGUUGCUCCCCUCGCUCAAAAUGCACUUGCAGCUCCUCUGGUGCUCCGCCUCGCUUCCGUCCAUGAUGGCGGUGCUCUUGGCACUUGCCAUGUGCCUCGCUGCCAGCAUCGCGUCUGCUGAUAUGCUGCUUGCGCCUAGUGACUCGAUUCCCUUCACCACUUUCGGUCAGCUUCAGCAGGUCUGCGCAGCGACGCAGGCUGGCAGUACCCCGGUGGCUAUGUACACAGCAACCAUGACGGCCCUUGUUGCCAAUCUCAUGAGUGAAAAGAAGGUGACCCACGCGUACGUGAGCGCGUACCUGAACGCCGACAGGAGGUGGACCUGGUUCGUCUACGAGGGCGGCGAAGUCAUCGAGACGCUCAUGAACAGCAGCCAGUGGGCAACCGGAAACCCAACGGGGGCGCACACCACCUACAGGCACGUGGUCUACAGCACCACGGAUAAGGGACUCAUCAGCGCCACCGGUUACGACAACUACCCAGUAGUCUGCAAAUACGAGAACCAAACAGACUACAGUCCACCCGGCAAGAGGUUCCCCUGGUGGAGCAUUCUCAUCGUUGUGGUAGUGGUCGCCGUCGUCGUGACGGUCGCUGUUUGCUGCCUCUGUUGCAAGAGGAAGCAGUUCGACGACGCAGGCGACGAGGACAGCGAGCUCACGACUCACAACGGCUCCUUCAGAAGCUAUGGCACCAGCCACACGGACAGCAACAAGUCUGACGGUAGCUCGCUUUUCACCUCGCGCCGCUCGUCCUCCUCUGGGUCGGAGAGUCAGUCCGACGGCUCGUCUUCUUGAAGCCGUGGCGUGACGGGCUCCACCGGUGGCGACUAGAGCACCAGAUAUCUCAAAAGGAAAGAGGAUAAAGGAGAGAGCGUGCCCAAGAUGGCUAAGGCGCUGUGAAAGAUGGAAAAGUGGUGAGUGGGAAGGGCCCGCCGGCCUCUUCGUGUUGUGUUACCUUCCAGUGGAGCCGCCCCCCUCCCCCCCUCCUCCCUCACCCCUGGCAGCGGUUCGUAAAACGGAAACUGUCACACAAAAUACAUAUAUACAGCAGAUCAUUAACUCUUGCACAUACAGACACGCACAUAUGUACCUCCUUCCUUCCCUGUCAUUCCCUUUUACCCAUCCAUCCACCCAUACACACCACCUCAUUACGUCCGUCUUGGCUUUGAGCUUUCCGCGCAUGCGAUGCAGAGGCGUGUAUUCUUGUUUUUGUGUGUAUAUGUGGUUACGUAAGCCACCCAUGCCCCCCCUUUCCGCCACCAUCACGACCAUGUCGGCCCCACCCCAACUCAUUGAUACUCGCCCACCUGUCUACCUUCCCCCCUCCCCCUCCUCCUGCGCCUGCGUGUGUUUUAUACAUCUCCUUUCUCGCAUCGUCAGUUAGUGUCUUCGUUUUCUCUGUUCACACGUGUGCAUGUGUUUGUGUGUGUGUGUGUGUGUGUGUUUCCGAGCGUUUUGCGAUGGUUUACGUGACUUGGUUGCCCUCCUCCGCACACAAACACACACACGCAGACACAAUAUACUCGUCAUCGGUGGUGUGUCUGUGCGACCACACAUGUAUGUGUCUGUGUCUGCCUGUCUGUGAUUGCAUGUGUACAUGGUUCUCUUUCUAGCUCUCUCGCUCUUGCCUCUCUUCGGUUCUACUGUGUAAAGAACUACCGUGACGAAUGUAUGAAGGUGCGCGUCUUGAUUCGGGAGGACGCGCGCGCGCGCUCUUGUUGCGUGUACGCUGCUGUGUUUUCGUAUCAUCAUCUCCGGUGGACCUCUCCUCCUCCUCCCCCUCCCCUUACCACUCCUCCGCGUGUGGGCGGGGGAUGUCGGAGCCUCACGUGUCUUGCCUUACUUGCCGGUAGCUUUUGUGUAGGAGUGUGUAGAUGUGUGUUCGGCUACAUCAGCUCCGUCAAGAUGGUUUUCCGGCUUCCUUUUUUUCGGGGGGAGGGGGGUUCUCCCCCUCCUCAUCGUUUUCCCGCCGUCGCUGUGUGUUCGCGUCGGGUGGCUGUGCGACGGUGCGCGCAUGAGUGGCCCGCGUGCGUUCUGUUCCCGUUGCCCCUCUCCCCUCCCUUACCAGGGCUUGGGUUGGUGUAUGCACCUUUGCGUGCCAUUCCCUUCUGUGGCUGUCGGUGAGGAGGAGAGGGAACGAAGAGCGCACACGCCACACAUGCACAAACACGUCCAUGUUUGUACAUCGCUGCUGUCGCCUGGAUUGUGGUUCACAGCUCGCUC